This 411-nucleotide long non-coding RNA is filed under the name Anser brachyrhynchus (Pink-footed goose). RNAcentral describes it as "lncRNA (ENSABRG00000017666.1)". The record is from RNAcentral. Lineage: Eukaryota; Metazoa; Chordata; Aves; Anseriformes; Anatidae.
AUGAGUGUGGUGGCACCAAGGCCUCGCUUUGCCCUUCUGCGAGGCACUGAGGACACGGCAGGCAGCAGGGACAGAUCCUGCCUGAGAGGAGGCGUGCCCAGAGGUGCCUCAGGGAUGGACCCGACCCGCACAGCAGCGGCCACAAGGGGUGCAGUCAGUAGUUGGUCUGAUGAGGGAUGCUUCACACGGGCUGUGAAGGCCAGCGGGACAAACAGCUUCCAGCCAAGGAGAUCUCAUCAUUCUGUACUGCAGUGGAUGACACAGCCUCGGGUGCUACAAAACAUCACAAAGCUGCAAAACCACUGGACUAAGACAGUGAAGUUUUCUGCUCAUAAGAGAGCCUCAGCCCCUGGAGCCAAGCUCAGGCCACAGCUGAGAAGUUCAGAAGCUCUGAAGAAUCACACAGAUUAA